GACGAACGCUGGCGGCGUGCCUAAUACAUGCAAGUAGAACGCACAGUUUAUACCGUAGCUUGCUACACCAUAGACUGUGAGUUGCGAACGGGUGAGUAACGCGUAGGUAACCUGCCUGGUAGCGGGGGAUAACUAUUGGAAACGAUAGCUAAUACCGCAUAAUAUUGAUUAUUGCAUGAUAAUUAAUUGAAAGGUGCAAUUGCACCACUACCAGAUGGACCUGCGUUGUAUUAGCUAGUAGGUGAGGUAACGGCUCACCUAGGCGACGAUACAUAGCCGACCUGAGAGGGUGAUCGGCCACACUGGGACUGAGACACGGCCCAGACUCCUACGGGAGGCAGCAGGAGGGAAUCUUCGGCAAUGGACGGAAGGCUGACCGAGCAACGCCGCGGGAGUGAAGAAGGUUUUCGGAUCGGAAAGCUCUGUUGUAAGAGAAGAACGGGUGUGAGAGUGGAAAGUUCACACUGUGACGGUAUCUUACCAGAAAGGGACGGCUAACUACGUG
This 505-nucleotide ribosomal RNA is filed under the name uncultured bacterium. Its description in RNAcentral is "partial 16S ribosomal RNA". It matches the Rfam family "Bacterial small subunit ribosomal RNA", at positions 28 to 507 of the family's 1533-position model. The record is from RNAcentral.